RNAcentral lists this ribosomal RNA (800 nucleotides) under uncultured bacterium. Its description in RNAcentral is "bacterial SSU rRNA". It matches the Rfam family "Bacterial small subunit ribosomal RNA", at positions 8 to 789 of the family's 1533-position model. The record is from RNAcentral.
AGAGUUUGAUCAUGGCUCAGGACGAACGCUGGCGGCGUGCCUAAUACAUGCAAGUCGAGCGGACGAAUCGAAAGCUUGCUUUUGAUUCGUUAGCGGCGGACGGGUGAGUAACACGUGGGCAACCUGCCCUGUAGACGGGGAUAACACCGAGAAAUCGGUGCUAAUACCGGAUAACACGAAAUGUCGCAUGACGUUUCAUUGAAAGACGGCGCAAGCUGUCGCUACAGGAUGGGCCCGCGGCGCAUUAGCUAGUUGGUGAGGUAACGGCUCACCAAGGCGACGAUGCGUAGCCGACCUGAGAGGGUGAUCGGCCACACUGGGACUGAGACACGGCCCAGACUCCUACGGGAGGCAGCAGUAGGGAAUCUUCCGCAAUGGACGAAAGUCUGACGGAGCAACGCCGCGUGAGCGAAGAAGGCCUUCGGGUCGUAAAGCUCUGUUGUUAGGGAAGAACAAGUAACGCAGUAACUGGCGUUACCGUGACGGUACCUAACGAGAAAGCCACGGCUAACUACGUGCCAGCAGCCGCGGUAAUACGUAGGUGGCAAGCGUUGUCCGGAAUUAUUGGGCGUAAAGCGCGCGCAGGCGGUUCCUUAAGUCUGAUGUGAAAGCCCACGGCUCAACCGUGGAGGGUCAUUGGAAACUGGGGGACUUGAGUGCAGAAGAGGAGAGCGGAAUUCCACGUGUAGCGGUGAAAUGCGUAGAGAUGUGGAGGAACACCAGUGGCGAAGGCGGCUCUCUGGUCUGUAACUGACGCUGAGGCGCGAAAGCGUGGGGAGCAAACAGGAUUAGAUACCCUG